Molecule: ribosomal RNA, 936 nt
Filed under: uncultured bacterium
Lineage: Bacteria
Description: bacterial SSU rRNA
Rfam family: Bacterial small subunit ribosomal RNA
Source: RNAcentral
UGCAAGUCGAACGAGAGAUGAAGAGCUUGCUCUUCAAAUCGAGUGGCGAACGGGUGAGUAACGCGUGAGGAACCUGCCUCAAAGAGGGGGACAACAGUUGGAAACGACUGCUAAUACCGCAUAAGCCCACGGCUCGGCAUCGAGCAGAGGGAAAAGGAGCAAUCCGCUUUGAGAUGGCCUCGCGUCCGAUUAGCUAGUUGGUGAGGUAACGGCCCACCAAGGCGACGACCGGUAGCCGGACUGAGAGGUUGAACGGCCACAUUGGGACUGAGACACGGCCCAGACUCCUACGGGAGGCAGCAGUGGGGAAUAUUGCACAAUGGGGGAAACCCUGAUGCAGCGACGCCGCGUGGAGGAAGAAGGUCUUCGGAUUGUAAACUCCUGUUGUUGAGGAAGAUAAUGACGGUACUCAACAAGGAAGUGACGGCUAACUACGUGCCAGCAGCCGCGGUAAAACGUAGGUCACAAGCGUUGUCCGGAAUUACUGGGUGUAAAGGGAGCGCAGGCGGGAGAACAAGUUGGAAGUGAAAUCCAUGGGCUCAACCCAUGAACUGCUUUCAAAACUGUUUUUCUUGAGUAGUGCAGAGGUAGGCGGAAUUCCCGGUGUAGCGGUGGAAUGCGUAGAUAUCGGGAGGAACACCAGUGGCGAAGGCGGCCUACUGGGCACCAACUGACGCUGAGGCUCGAAAGUGUGGGUAGCAAACAGGAUUAGAUACCCUGGUAGUCCACACCGUAAACGAUGAUUACUAGGUGUUGGAGGAUUGACCCCUUCAGUGCCGCAGUUAACACAAUAAGUAAUCCACCUGGGGAGUACGACCGCAAGGUUGAAACUCAAAGGAAUUGACGGGGGCCCGCACAAGCAGUGGAGUAUGUGGUUUAAUUCGACGCAACGCGAAGAACCUUACCAAGUCUUGACAUCCUGCGACGCACAUAGAA